This is a long non-coding RNA of Papaver somniferum (opium poppy), 226 nucleotides long. RefSeq lists it as uncharacterized. Lineage: Eukaryota; Viridiplantae; Streptophyta; Magnoliopsida; Ranunculales; Papaveraceae. The transcript has 3 exons. The record is from RefSeq and is a predicted model, not a curated record.
CAAAACCUAGAUUUCUUCUCAACUGAUUUCUCUCAACAAAUCUACUAAUUUCUAUCUUCAUCGUCACUCUCAACUUAUCUCUCCAUCUCUUUUAAAUCACCUAAUGUUCUUUUAGAAGAAUCAUCAUCUUCAGGGGGAAGGAAAUAAGUAAGAGAGAAGAAGAUUAAAAUUUCGUGAAGAUUAUAAACCCGCCAAACCAUAAUAAACCCAAGCUGUAACAAUGAGG